ACCUGAGCGGCGACGUCUCUCCUCCUCCCUGACGUCGCCGCAUCUUAUUUUAAGUGUGAGCUCUCCUCCUCCCUGCUCACACCUAACGGAAACGGCGGCGUCCACCUCCUCCCGGGCGCCGCCGUUUUC
This 129-nucleotide small RNA is filed under the name Candidatus Rhodobacter oscarellae. Its description in RNAcentral is "Candidatus Rhodobacter lobularis Alphaproteobacterial ar14". It matches the Rfam family "Alphaproteobacterial ar14". Rfam says of the family: Smr14C2 was renamed NfeR1 (Nodule Formation Efficiency RNA) highly expressed in salt stress and during the symbiotic interaction on legume roots. Lineage: Bacteria; Pseudomonadati; Pseudomonadota; Alphaproteobacteria; Rhodobacterales. The record is from Rfam by way of RNAcentral.